This 1035-nucleotide long non-coding RNA is filed under the name Heterocephalus glaber (naked mole-rat). RNAcentral's name for it is "lncRNA (ENSHGLG00100046482.1)". Lineage: Eukaryota; Metazoa; Chordata; Mammalia; Rodentia; Bathyergidae. The record is from RNAcentral.
GUGGAUUUCUCUAGCUUCUCUUAGAAGAGGGUGAGAGCAACAGGUUUCUCACACCCUCAGCAGAGUAUGUUACAAUGGAAGCAAAGUCUCUGGCCCAGUUUUACCUAAUAAACCAGCAAGUAUUAACAUUCAGGCAGAAAACUGCCGUGGCAUCUGGGGGUGUCGAUUUAAGAGGCAUCACACCGUCUUUCCGUGCAGAGACAUCUGUUAGAGCACCGGCUCCGAGCUCUCGCGUGGUCACUCGUGGCUGGUCUCUCCUGUGUCCUCCUGGCUCCCUCCCUGGUGGUUCCAGUGAGUGUGCGGCCCCGAGGCUAUGAAGGGAUUAAGGUCAGCUGACUGAGGACUGCCGGGAUCCCUGCACACCUUAUCCUGUAUUCCUGGCUCAGCAGUGUUCUCUUGGCUCCAGAAACCUUGACGUUGAGAAUUGCACAUCUGGUCUCCGCCUACACACACACACACACAUCAUUUCUUCCCCAAAUAAUCAAUGUUCCCCAGUUUCCUUCUCUGGCUUGAAUAUCCUUUGAAACUUUAGUUUGGUGCCUAUUAUAUUGUUUUGGCGCUUGGGGAGCAAAUUUGAUAUGAUUUCUAGUUCUGAGAACCCUGAAGCACCACUUCUUGUGGUUCCUUUUUAUAAACCUCUUAAAAGCAAAGCAAACAGUAUUCUGAUGGGCUGGAUUAAAUGAUCACUAGAAAAAGAAAUGAUCACUGCCCAAGUUCAGACCUUAUUUCUUUCUGAGGUGGGAGAUUAGGGCCAUAGCAGGCUGGCUGGAAAACAGGAUAUAACCUGAUAGUUAUGAAGAUCCAGGCCAGCGUCUGGGAAAAAGAUGGACCUAUGUAACCUGACCCUGAAAGCAACCUGUCAGUCACAGCCAGGAUGGUGGGCACAGCAGCUUCCAGGCCCUGGAUCUGAAAGGGUAUGAAAGGCAGCCACGCCUGACCUCUCCACCACGGCAGGCUUGUUCUGCUGUGUUUCUUGGCUUGCAGGACAUAUCUCUUCUUGUUCGUCUCUUUCCUUCCUUUCUUCUCUCUUCAUUC